RNAcentral lists this ribosomal RNA (408 nucleotides) under bacterium enrichment culture clone ALO1_GLFRUDD03F8DZY. RNAcentral describes it as "bacterial SSU rRNA". It matches the Rfam family "Bacterial small subunit ribosomal RNA", at positions 9 to 416 of the family's 1533-position model. The record is from RNAcentral.
GAGUUUGAUCCUGGCUCAGAUUGAACGCUGGCGGCAUGCCUUACACAUGCAAGUCGAACGGCAGCACGGGAGCUUGCUCCUGGUGGCGAGUGGCGAACGGGUGAGUAAUGCAUCGGAACGUAUCCUGGAGUGGGGGAUAACGUAGCGAAAGUUACGCUAAUACCGCAUAUUCUGUGAGCAGGAAAGCGGGGGACCUUCGGGCCUCGCGCUCUUGGAGCGGCCGAUGUCGGAUUAGCUAGUUGGUGAGGUAAAGGCUCACCAAGGCGACGAUCCGUAGCAGGUCUGAGAGGAUGAUCUGCCAACACUGGAACUGAGACACGGUCCAGACUCCUACGGGAGGCAGCAGUGGGGAAUUUUGGACAAUGGGGGCAACCCUGAUCCAGCCAUGCCGCGUGAGUGAAGAAGGCC